Triticum aestivum (bread wheat) is the source of this 100-nucleotide non-coding RNA. The record is from Rfam. Lineage: Eukaryota; Viridiplantae; Streptophyta; Magnoliopsida; Poales; Poaceae.
AACGUACUCCCUCCGUCCCAAAAUUCUUAUCAUAGAUUUGCCCAAACAUCCGUAUCUAGACAAAUCUAAGACAAGAAUUUUGGGACGGAGGGAGUAGUUA